UCUCCCCAUUAGAAGGGAGGAAUAUCAAUAAACUAAACCAAGCGCAUCUUUCUCCAUUAUACCUUUAAUUCUGCGCUUCUCUCUCUCCACAUUCUCUCAUGUCUCUCUCCUCUAGACCCUAGAGUCCAGCCUCUUUAUGAUCAAGGGAGAAGGUGAAUAUACCAUCAUUGAAAUCUUUCAUGACCAUAGAAGGAGUAGGAGUAGAUACAACCAUCGUCCAAUGGGGAUUGAGGAGACACACAUGAAACAAUCAGGCCAACAGGGAAGCCUCUUGGCACCUUCAAUUCGGGAACGUUUGCUGUGAAUUCCCCUUAUUUCAUAGCAAAAAAUAUCACUUUUCAAAACGCAACACCUCUUCCACCACCAGGGGCUGUCCUUUAUAUUUAGGGCAUAAAAAGAAGCAUUGGUCCCUAGACUUACUUCAACUGUUAUCCAUACAGGUUAAGAUUCUCUUCUCGCUUUACCCUUCUACUGAUUCCAUAACUGCUCAUUACUUGGAAUUUGAACAACCGCCAG
Long non-coding RNA from Macadamia integrifolia, 516 nucleotides. RefSeq lists it as uncharacterized. The record is from RefSeq and is a predicted model, not a curated record. The transcript is spliced from 3 exons. Lineage: Eukaryota; Viridiplantae; Streptophyta; Magnoliopsida; Proteales; Proteaceae.